GACGAACGCUGGUGGCGUGCUUAACACAUGCAAGUCGAACGGAAAGGCCCUGCUUUUGUGGGGUGCUCGAGUGGCGAACGGGUGAGUAACACGUGAGUAACCUGCCCUUGACUUUGGGAUAACUUCAGGAAACUGGGGCUAAUACCGGAUAGGAGCUCCUGCUGCAUGGUGGGGGUUGGAAAGUUUCGGCGGUUGGGGAUGGACUCGCGGCCUAUCAGCUUGUUGGUGGGGUAGUGGCUUACCAAGGCUUUGACGGGUAGCCGGCCUGAGAGGGUGACCGGCCACAUUGGGACUGAGAUACGGCCCAGACUCCUACGGGAGGCAGCAGUGGGGAAUAUUGCACAAUGGGCGGAAGCCUGAUGCAGCAACGCCGCGUGCGGGAUGACGGCCUUCGGGUUGUAAACCGCUUUCGCCUGUGACGAAGCGUGAGUGACGGUAAUGGGUAAAGAAGCACCGGCUAACUACGUG
RNAcentral lists this ribosomal RNA (468 nucleotides) under uncultured bacterium. RNAcentral's name for it is "partial 16S ribosomal RNA". It matches the Rfam family "Bacterial small subunit ribosomal RNA", at positions 28 to 507 of the family's 1533-position model. The record is from RNAcentral.